Molecule: long non-coding RNA, 739 nt
Organism: Saccostrea cuccullata (small rock oyster)
Lineage: Eukaryota; Metazoa; Mollusca; Bivalvia; Ostreida; Ostreidae
Exons: 6
Source: RefSeq, a predicted model, not a curated record
ACCGAGAGGUUCAGCAGCAUUCUGGGGAACAAGGAUCGACUGCGACCGCACAUGGAAGAGAGGAUAUGCGAUGUGAUGCAGCCCUCUGUUCCCAGUCCUUUGAAGAGGAGUCUGCCAACCCAGGGACGGUCAGGGUUUGGCUGUUGUGGAUUCCCAGAUGAUUAGCGGACUGCAGCCUGCCAGAGGAAGUAUGCAGAGUUCAGGGACGUACUGCGGCCAACUCCGGCGUUGAAGGUACGGGGUUGGACUGGCCUGGUUGCGUGGAAGAAGAGCAGACCGUCACCAGUAGCAGCAGUUCUGUGAUGCACUGCGGUCAAUCCCUGACGUGCAGCAGAGGAGGAGAUGUAUGCUGACCCGGGAGGAUCCCAACAGCAGUCAAGCAGGGAAGAGGAGGAUGCGCAGCAAGCAGCAGAGCCCAGCCCAGCCCUUCGCAGCCCAGCCCCGGAUCCAGCGCAGCCCACACCAGCCAGCCCAUCCCACCAGGAGAUCCAGUGCCGCGACCAGGCAGCCUAACAGAGAAGCAUUUUGAAUUUAUUUCUUUCCUUCUGUCUCUUCUCUAUCUUCUUAGCACUUUCCUAAUCUAACACAACUAACCAUCCCCUACCCCUUAACAUUGAUUUUGUUGUAAUUUCCUUGAAUUUGUGUGCUUUGUUUCAUUGUUUUGAAUUUUUACUAAUCUCGUCUCAGUUGUAUAUUUUCAGGCACUCGGACGUGGUACAACGCGAGAGUACUCAGCCAG